GAUGAACGCUGGCGGCGUGCCUAAUACAUGCAAGUCGAGCGAACAGACGAGGAGCUUGCUCCUCUGACGUUAGCUGCGGACGGGUUAGUAACACGUGGAUAACCUACCUAUAAGACUGGGAUAACUUCGGGAAACCGGAGCUAAUACCGGAUAAUAUAUUGAACCGCAUGGUUCAAUAGUGAAAGACGGUUUUGCUGUCACUUAUAGAUGGAUCCGCGCCGCAUUAGCUAGUUGGUAAGGUAACGGCUUACCAAGGCAACGAUGCGUAGCCGACCUGAGAGGGUGAUCGGCCACACUGGAACUGAGACACGGUCCAGACUCCUACGGGAGGCAGCAGUAGGGAAUCUUCCGCAAAGGGCGAAAGCUUGACGGAGCAACGCCGCGUGAGUGAUGAAGGUCUUCGGAUCGUAAAACUCUGUUAUUAGGGAAGAACAAAUGUGUAAGUAACUAUGCACGUCUUGACGGUACCUAAUCAGAAAGCCACGGCUAACUACGUG
This 497-nucleotide ribosomal RNA is filed under the name uncultured bacterium. RNAcentral's name for it is "partial 16S ribosomal RNA". It matches the Rfam family "Bacterial small subunit ribosomal RNA", at positions 28 to 507 of the family's 1533-position model. The record is from RNAcentral.